AGUGAACGCUGGCGGUAGGCCUAACACAUGCAAGUCGAACGGCAGCACAGUAAGAGCUUGCUCUUACGGGUGGCGAGUGGCGGACGGGUGAGGAAUACAUCGGAAUCUACUUUUUCGUGGGUGAUAACGUAGGGAAACUUACGCUAAUACCGCAUACGAACUACGGGUGAAAGCAUGGGAUCUUCGGACCUUGCGCGAUUGAAUGAGCCGAUGUCGGAUUAGCUAGUUGGCGGGGUAAAGGCCCACCAAGGCGACGAUCCGUAGCUGGUCUGAGAGGAUGAUCAGCCACACUGGAACUGAGACACGGUCCAGACUCCUACGGGAGGCAGCAGUGGGGAAUAUUGGACAAUGGGCGCAAGCCUGAUCCAGCCAUACCGCGUGGGUGAAGAAGGCCUUCGGGUUGUAAAGCCCUUUUGUUGGGAAAGAAAAGCAGCAGGUUAAUACCCCGCUGUUCUGACGGUACCCAAAGAAUAAGCACCGGCUAACUUCGUG
This 492-nucleotide ribosomal RNA is filed under the name uncultured bacterium. RNAcentral's name for it is "partial 16S ribosomal RNA". It matches the Rfam family "Bacterial small subunit ribosomal RNA", at positions 29 to 507 of the family's 1533-position model. The record is from RNAcentral.